GGUGGACCCCAUGGAGCUGGAGACGGACGCUCAGUCCCAGAGCAGCGCCACCUGGCUGGUGGACCCCAAGGACUCCAAACGCACCAUCAGCACCAACUGACUGCUGUGUUGAAGUGCCCGGACUGUGGCUGUGAGUCGGGGACUGAGGGCUGGUACCCUGUGUUGGGAGAGCUGUAUACUGUUCCCACAGUAUAUGGUUUUUCAUUGGGGUGGGGGAGGUGCGUGCUUAAUGCUUGUGGGGAUCGGUACUGUAAUGUCCCCACACACACACACACAUCCCAAAACACUGCCCACUCCACUCCCCCCCAGAGCUGUGCCACCCAUCCUUACACUGUGGAGAAACCGUCCUGGGAACAUCUGAGCUGUACCUCCUUUUCUCUCCUGUUACCCUAAAACACAACCUUCCUCCCCAUCUACAUGCAAGGGUGUUGCUCAACCAUCCCUUCUUCAACCUCCUGCCACACACACACACACACACUCACACUCUCUCACACACACACACCCGUAGGAGGUCAGAGCAUGUUGUUCACAGGAAGACUGGAAUCUUUUGCGGACCUCUUGAUUAUGGUACUGCUGUUCUAGUGGGAAUGAAUCUCCUUUCUCUGAUCAUGAAGCCCCACCCUGGCCUCCAGUGGGUUCACUUUAGUGGGCCUCUCCUGACAUACACUGGAUAACUGUCCAUGUCCUAGAUUAUGUACAUGAUUCUCUCAGGUUCUGAAUUAAGAGCUCAGGUGAGGUCAAGGGUCAUGUAAUGUCACUGUUGGGGAUGACUGUGCCAGGAGUUUUUGUCUGUGAAGUUCUGCAUACGAUUUUCUUUUUUCUUUUUUUUCUUUUUUCUUUUAAUUAUUAAAAGUUAUUUGUGGAAAAUCAGCAUGUACCAUACGGUGUGCAAAACGUACAACUAAGAAUUUUCCCAGUGUGGAAUCUUUAUUUUUUCCAUGCAUAGUUGACCUAAUCAUCAAGUAAAGGGGGGUGGGGGGGAAUUUAAAUGUAGCAGUGCAUUCAAAAUCACGAUUCAUCUGUAGCUGAAUCAAUGGGGAGAUCUGUGAUGUCGCAAUCUUCUCAUGAUAAAAGGUACUGUUAACCAAACCCUGAAAUUGUCACAAUCAGAAACUACUACCAGGCACAGCCACCACUCCUACAAGACUUUUGAGCCUGAUAAGCUUGAGAAAUCCCUUUUUUGUGCUAUUUAGUCUGACUACACAUUGGUUUUGGUGGAAAUUCUUACUGUUAUGGAGGUUGAAUUGAGGUUGUUUUACACUACAAAGAAUGGGGAUUUUGUUUAAUUUCUUAAAAGAGUAAAGAAAAGUGAGAGGUGUGUUGCUUUUAUUUAACUUAAAUAAAACUUAAAAGCCGUUUUCUUUCAUUUUGUAACUGUACUGAUGCUUAAACUGUUUCAGGCUGAUGCAAGGUUUGCUGAUAAUAACCCCAGUCAUCGAUUCAUCCAAAAGAAUCAUGAAAACGCAUAUUCAAAGAGGAACUUGUCUUGUUAUGCUCACAAUUUGAUACCAAAAAAUACAGUCGGAUCCCAAGAACUAUGGCGAUUUUCUGCCAUGUCGUUUGUAAAUUGUGUGUGUUAUUCAGAGGUACUCCAUGGUACUGGGGCUUGUGAAAAUGGAAACCAGUCUCCUUCAUCAGCCUCGCUCAUUUCUGGCAUUUGCACAUUUGCUAAUUGUGAUGGGUAGUACCUUGGGACUAAUCUGUAAUAUUGAUAAUGGUUAUAAUGAGAUGAAUGAUAUUGGUUUGUAAAGUAAUCCCUCGCAAUCUGUAUUUUGAUACUUGAAUGAUUCUGCUUUUAUAAAUAUAUAUAUAUGUAUAUGGAUUUAUGUAAGUAAUGUUUCAUUUUUUUCAUUGUCCACGUUUGUGGGAAAAUGAGAUCUGGCGAGUGUUUGAAAAGCUUCACAGAUCAAUGGUACUCAUCCCUGACCUGUCUUGGGGGUGAAAA
Long non-coding RNA from Conger conger (European conger), 1945 nucleotides. RefSeq lists it as uncharacterized. Lineage: Eukaryota; Metazoa; Chordata; Actinopteri; Anguilliformes; Congridae. The transcript has 3 exons. The record is from RefSeq and is a predicted model, not a curated record.